CUUACCUUUAUGUAUUUUCACCUGCUGUUUCUCUUGAGUUGUGCUGCACAUGGUCAAGAGUUGGAAGAAAGGAAAGACAGAAAUGAUUUGCUGAGCGUGUAUUGAGGACCUGCUGUCUUCUUGAUGAACACAACGAUGUACAGAAGAAAACCUUUACCAAAUGGAUAAACGCUCGAUUUUCAAAGAGUGGGAAACCACCCAUCAAUGAUAUGUUCUCAGACCUCAAAGAUGGGAGAAAGCUCUUGGAUCUUCUAGAAGGCCUCACAGGAACAUCAUUGCCAAAGGAACGUGGUUCCACAAGGGUGCAUGCCUUAAAUAAUGUCAACCGGGUGCUGCAGGUUUUACAUCAGAACAAUGUGGAGCUGGUGAAUAUCGGA
Molecule: long non-coding RNA, 377 nt
Filed under: Rattus norvegicus (Norway rat)
Lineage: Eukaryota; Metazoa; Chordata; Mammalia; Rodentia; Muridae
Description: long non-coding RNA NONRATT001952
Source: RNAcentral